Molecule: ribosomal RNA, 252 nt
Filed under: uncultured bacterium
Lineage: Bacteria
Description: partial 16S ribosomal RNA
Rfam family: Bacterial small subunit ribosomal RNA
Source: RNAcentral
UACGGGGGGGGCAAGCGUUGUUCGGAAUUACUGGGCGUAAAGGGCUCGUAGGCGGCCAACUAAGUCAUACGUGAAAUCCCUCGGCUUAACCGGGGAACUGCGUCUGAUACUGGAUGGCUUGAGUUCGGGAGAGGGAUGCGGAAUUCCAGGUGUAGCGGUGAAAUGCGUAGAUAUCUGGAGGAACACCGGUGGCGAAGGCGGCAUCCUGGACCGAUACUGACGCUGAGGAGCGAAAGCCAGGGAGCAAACGGG